RNAcentral lists this ribosomal RNA (305 nucleotides) under uncultured bacterium. Its description in RNAcentral is "bacterial SSU rRNA". It matches the Rfam family "Bacterial small subunit ribosomal RNA", at positions 334 to 653 of the family's 1533-position model. The record is from RNAcentral.
AAUACCUACGGGGGGCAGCAGUGGGGAAUAUUGCACAAUGGGCGAAAGCCUGAUGCAGCAACGCCGCGUGAAGGAAGAAGGGUUUCGGCUCGUAAACUUCUAUUAACAGGGACGAAAGAAAUGACGGUACCUGAAUAAGAAGCCACGGCUAACUACGUGCCAGCAGCCGCGGUAAUACGUAGGUGGCAAGUGUUGUCCGGAUUUACUGGGUGUAAAGGGCGUGCAGCCGGGAAGACAAGUCAGAUGUGAAAUCCCGCGGCUCAACCGCGGAACUGCAUUUGAAACUGUUUUUCUUGAGUACCGGG